This 396-nucleotide ribosomal RNA is filed under the name uncultured bacterium. Its description in RNAcentral is "partial 16S ribosomal RNA". It matches the Rfam family "Bacterial small subunit ribosomal RNA", at positions 523 to 918 of the family's 1533-position model. The record is from RNAcentral.
AUACGGUGCGCGCGAGCGUUGUCCGGAAUUACUGGGUGUAAAGGGAGCGUAGGCGGGAUGGCAAGUCCGAUGUGAAAUGCAUGGGCUUAACCCAUGAGCUGCAUUUGAAACUGCAUUUCUUGAGCGAAGUAGUGGUAAGCGGAAUUCCUGGUGUAGCGGUGAAAUGCGUAGAUAUCAGGAGGAACACCGGUGGCGAAGGCGGCUUACUGGGCUUUUACUGACGCUUAGGCUCGAGAGCGUGGGGAGCAAACAGGAUUAGAUACCCUGGUAGUCCACUCUGUAAACGAUGAUUACUAGGUGUGGGGGGACUGACCCCUUCCGUGCCGCAGUUAACACAAUAAGUAAUCCACCUGGGGAGUACAGCCGCAAGGUUGAAACUUAAAUGAAUUGGCGGGG